GAUGAACGCUGGCGGCGUGCCUAACACAUGCAAGUCGAACGGAAAUGGUUGAUGAAGUUUUCGGAUGGAUUCUUUCAUUUUAGUGGCGGACGGGUGAGUAACGCGUGGGUAACCUGCCCUGUACCGGGGGAUAACAUUCAGAAAUGAGUGAUAAUACCGCAUAAGCGCACAGCUUCGCAUGAAGCAGUGUGAAAAACUCCGGUGGUACAGGAUGGACCCGCGUCUGAUUAGCCAGUUGGUGGGGUAACGGCCUACCAAAGCGACGAUCAGUAGCCGGCCUGAGAGGGUGAACGGCCACAUUGGGACUGAGACACGGCCCAGACUCC
Molecule: ribosomal RNA, 326 nt
Filed under: uncultured Lachnospiraceae bacterium
Lineage: Bacteria; Bacillati; Bacillota; Clostridia; Lachnospirales; Lachnospiraceae
Description: bacterial SSU rRNA
Rfam family: Bacterial small subunit ribosomal RNA
Source: RNAcentral